GACGAACGCUGGCGGCGUGCUUAACACAUGCAAGUCGAACGGAAAGGCCCUGCUUUUGUGGGGUGCUCGAGUGGCGAACGGGUGAGUAACACGUGAGUAACCUGCCCUUGACUUUGGGAUAACUUCAGGAAACUGGGGCUAAUACCGGAUAGGAGCUCCUGCUGCAUGGUGGGGGUUGGAAAGUUUCGGCGGUUGGGGAUGGACUCGCGGCUUAUCAGCUUGUUGGUGGGGUAGUGGCUUACCAAGGCUUUGACGGGUAGCCGGCCUGAGAGGGUGACCGGCCACAUUGGUACUGAGAUACGGCCCAGACUCCUACGGGAGGCAGCAGUGGGGAAUAUUGCACAAUGGGCGGAAGCCUGAUGCAGCAACGCCGCGUGCGGGAUGACGUCCUUCGGGUUGUAAACCGCUUUCGCCUGUGACGAAGCGUGAGUGACGGUAAUGGGUAAAGAAGCACCGGCUAACUACGUG
Molecule: ribosomal RNA, 468 nt
Filed under: uncultured bacterium
Lineage: Bacteria
Description: partial 16S ribosomal RNA
Rfam family: Bacterial small subunit ribosomal RNA
Source: RNAcentral